UACUCUAACCGUGCGAAGGUAGCACAAUAACUUGUUCUUUAAAUAAGGACUAGAAUCAAUGGCUUCACGAGGGUUACACGUCUCCUUUUUCUAAUCAGUGAAACUGAUCUCCCCGUGAAGAAGCGGGGAUAUUACUAUAAGACGAGAAGACCCCAUGGAGCUUUAAACUAAAUAGGUAACCUCUACAAAUUACAUGGUAAUCUUGGCUUUUAUCUAUUAGUUUUGGGUUGGGGUGACCGCGGAGAAUAGCCUAACCUCCGCAAUGAAAAGAAUAAUAUCCUAAUCUAAGAGGGACACCUCUAAGAAUUAAUAAAUUAACAUAUGAUGAUCCAAUACUUACAUUUGAUCAAUGAACCAAGUUACCCUGGGGAUAACAGCGCAAUCCACUUCAAGAGUCCCUAUCGACAAGUGGGUUUACGACCUCGAUGUUGGAUCAGGGUAUCCCGGUGGUGCAGCCGCUACUAAAGGUUCGUUUGUUCAACGAUUAAAACCCUACGUGAUCUG
Molecule: ribosomal RNA, 504 nt
Filed under: Ptychadena anchietae (savanna ridged frog)
Lineage: Eukaryota; Metazoa; Chordata; Amphibia; Anura; Ptychadenidae
Description: partial 16S ribosomal RNA
Rfam family: Bacterial large subunit ribosomal RNA
Source: RNAcentral